GCGAACGUAGCUCAGUCGGUAGAGCCCCGGAUUGUGAUUCCGGUUGUCGCGGGUUCAAGUCCCGUCGUUCGCCCCA
Molecule: transfer RNA, 76 nt
Filed under: Magnetococcales bacterium
Lineage: Bacteria; Pseudomonadati; Pseudomonadota; Magnetococcia; Magnetococcales
Description: tRNA-His
Rfam family: tRNA
About the family: Transfer RNA (tRNA) molecules are approximately 80 nucleotides in length.
Source: RNAcentral